Molecule: long non-coding RNA, 718 nt
Organism: Mus musculus (house mouse)
Lineage: Eukaryota; Metazoa; Chordata; Mammalia; Rodentia; Muridae
Product: RIKEN cDNA A530053G22 gene
Exons: 5
Source: RefSeq, marked validated
GUACAAACUGAAAUGCUUUAUGAGCCUCUUCAGUCCAUCAUUUCACCGCAGCUGAACAACGUUACUCUUCUGUUCAAUUAGAAAGAGAAGAAUCUGGAAAAUGAAUUUUCUUCUUCUUGCUCUAGCCUUUUUGGUUUCUGCUGCUGAGGAACCCUUACAGUUUUCAGGGAAAUUUCAUACUGUCUACCUAGCAAGUAAAUCUGUGGGUGCAAUAGCAGAAAAUAGUCCAGAGCGUAUGCUGAUGCGUGAAGUUCAGUUUUUUAAUGAACACAGUGUCAUGAGCAUGACGUUCUAUGUGAGGAAAAACGGGAUCUGCCAACUACACACAGUUUGGGCUGAUAAACUCCCAUGGAAUUAUUGCACAAAGAAAGCAACUGGGACAAAUAUCACUCAAGAAAUGUGAGAAGAAUAUGUGACCCUAACUAAGUUCGUCAAAAUUCCUACUAAAAAUAUUGAAAAUGUAUAUGAAACAGAUGUAUGCCCUAAAUAGGAGCCUUGAUCUCAGGAGGAGAAAAAUUGUAUUAGUCACUAUACUUGAUUCCUUGGAAUUAAAUUUUGAUGUUGAUUCAAGCCUGUAAACAAAGGUAUUCACAAUUGUUAUUCAGGGAUUUCUGCACACCCUAUUGUUAAGGAAUAUCAUUACUGGCUUUAUGUAAGAUUAAUUGCAUUGAUUUCAACUUUGUAAAAGAGUUUUCAAUAAAGUACCCAAUGCACAUCA